This 1417-nucleotide ribosomal RNA is filed under the name Lactobacillus delbrueckii subsp. bulgaricus. Its description in RNAcentral is "partial 23S ribosomal RNA". It matches the Rfam family "Bacterial large subunit ribosomal RNA", at positions 754 to 2181 of the family's 2925-position model. The record is from RNAcentral. Lineage: Bacteria; Bacillati; Bacillota; Bacilli; Lactobacillales; Lactobacillaceae.
CGGUAAAACGCGCUGGAGGACCGAACCCACGUAAGUUGAAAAUUGCGGGGAUGAGUUGUGGGUAGCGGUGAAAUUCCAAACGAACUUGGAGAUAGCUGGUUCUCUCCGAAAUAGCUUUAGGGCUAGCCUCGCAAAGAGGAUGCUGGAGGUAGAGCUCUGUUUGGACUAGGGGCCCGUCAAGGGUUACUGAAUUCAGAUAAACUGCGAAUUCCAGACAUUUAUGUGCGGGAGUCAGACUGCGAGUGAUAAGAUCCGUAGUCGAAAGGGAAACAGCCCAGAUCACCAGUUAAGGUCCCAAAAUUCAUGCUAAGUGGAAAAGGAUGUGGAGUUGCGCAGACAACUAGGACGUUGGCUCAGAAGCAGCCAUCAUUCAAAGAGUGCGUAAUAGCUCACUAGUCGAGUGACGCCGCGCCGAAAAUUUACCGGGGCUAAGCAUGAUACCGAAACUGUGGAUGUGCGUUUAUGCACGUGGUAGGAGAGCGUUCUAGCGGCGGUGAAGCAUGACCGAGAGGACAUGUGGAGCUUCUAGAAGUGAGAAUGCCGGUAUGAGUAACGAAAGACAGGUGAGAAUCCUGUCCGCCGCAAGACUAAGGUUUCCUGGGGCAGGCUCGUCCGCCCAGGGUAAGUCGGGACCUAAGGCGAGGCCGAGAGGCGUAGUCGAUGGACAACAGGUUGAAAUUCCUGUACUGCACCGAAUCGUUAUGAGCGAUGGAGGGACGCAGGAGGCUAGCAGCGCGUGGUGCUGGAUACCACGUUCAAGCGUCAAGUCUGAGAGCGAGUCAAAUGCUUGCUCUCAUAAGGACAAGGCGUGAUGAGGAGCGAAAUUAAAGUAGCGAAGGCUGCGACGUCACACUGCCGAGAAAAGCUUCUAGCCAGAGACGGUGCACCCGUACCGCAAACCGACACAGGUAGUCGAGGAGAGUAUCCUCAGGUGAGCGAGAGAACUCUCGUUAAGGAACUCGGCAAAAUGGCCCCGUAACUUCGGGAGAAGGGGCGCUGGUCGCAAGAUCAGCCGCAGUGAAAAGGCCCAAGCAACUGUUUAUCAAAAACACAGGCAUCUGCAAAAUCGUAAGAUGAAGUAUAGGUGCUGACACCUGCCCGGUGCUGGAAGGUUAAGAGGAGAGCUUAGCGCAAGCGAAGGUUUGAAUUGAAGCCCCAGUAAACGGCGGCCGUAACUAUAACGGUCCUAAGGUAGCGAAAUUCCUUGUCGGGUAAGUUCCGACCUGCACGAAAGGUGUAAUGAUUUGGGCACUGUCUCAACGAGAGACUCGGUGAAAUUAUAAUACCCGUGAAGAUGCGGGUUACCCGCGACAGGACGGAAAGACCCCAUGGAGCUUUACUGCAGUUUAAUAUUGGGUAUCUGUCAAGCAUGUACAGGAUAGGUAGGAGCCGGAGAAGAUAGGACGCCAGUCUUAUC